RNAcentral lists this ribosomal RNA (449 nucleotides) under uncultured bacterium. RNAcentral's name for it is "partial 16S ribosomal RNA". It matches the Rfam family "Bacterial small subunit ribosomal RNA", at positions 338 to 795 of the family's 1533-position model. The record is from RNAcentral.
CCUACGGGGGGCUGCAGUGGGGAAUUUUGGACAAUGGGCGCAAGCCUGAUCCAGCCAUUCCGCGUGAGUGAAGAAGGCCUUCGGGUUGUAAAGCUCUUUCGGCCGGGAAGAAAUCGCACGGGUUAAUACCCUGUGUGGAUGACGGUACUGGAAGAAGAAGCACCGGCUAACUACGUGCCAGCAGCCGAGGUAAUACGUACGGUGCGAGCGUUAAUCGGAAUUACGGGGCCUGUUGCGUGCGCCGGCUGUGAAAUCCCCGGGCUUAACCUGGGAACUGCGGUUGUGACUGCAAGACUUGAGUGCGGCAGAGGGGGGUGGAAUUCCACGUGUAGCAGUGAAAUGCGUAGAGAUGUGGAGGAACACCGAUGGCGAAGGCAGCCCCCUGGGUCGACACUGACGCUCAUGCACGAAAGCGUGGGGAGCAAACAGGAUUAGAUACCCCGGUAGUC